GAUUAUGGCUCAGGAUGAACGCUAGCUACAGGCUUAACACAUGCAAGUCGAGGGGCAGCAUGAUCUUAGCUUGCUAAGAUUGAUGGCGACCGGCGCACGGGUGAGUAACGCGUAUCCAACCUUCCCUAUAGUAGGGGAUAGCCCGUAGAAAUGCGGAUUAAUACCCUAUGUUGUAUUUUGAGGACAUCUGACGAAUACCAAAGGUUCACCGCUAUAGGAUGGGGAUGCGUCUGAUUAGGUUGUUGGCGGGGUAACGGCCCACCAAGCCUACGAUCAGUAGGGGUUCUGAGAGGAAGGUCCCCCACAUUGGAACUGAGACACGGUCCAAACUCCUACGGGAGGCAGCAGUGAGGAAUAUUGGUCAAUGGGCGAGAGCCUGAACCAGCCAAGUAGCGUGCAGGAUGACGGCCCUAUGGGUUGUAAACUGCUUUUAUGCGGGGAUAAAGUGAGGGACGUGUCCCUUAUUGUAGGUACCGCAUGAAUAAGGACCGGCUAAUUCCGUGCCAGCCGCGGC
This 514-nucleotide ribosomal RNA is filed under the name uncultured bacterium. Its description in RNAcentral is "bacterial SSU rRNA". It matches the Rfam family "Bacterial small subunit ribosomal RNA", at positions 15 to 518 of the family's 1533-position model. The record is from RNAcentral.